Molecule: small nucleolar RNA, 133 nt
Organism: Acomys russatus (golden spiny mouse)
Lineage: Eukaryota; Metazoa; Chordata; Mammalia; Rodentia; Muridae
Product: small nucleolar RNA SNORA70
Exons: 1
Source: RefSeq, a predicted model, not a curated record
GAGCAGUUAAGGCAAAAGGGUUUCUGUCCUCACAGGAGUCUAGUGUGCAGUGGCUGCAGAGCAGCCUCCUUGAUAGGACACACAGCCUGUUUGCUGCCUGUGUGGGUUUCCCCUAAAGGACUUCGGGAGAGUU